CCUACGGGAGGCAGCAGUGAGGAAUAUUGGUCAAUGGACGAAAGUCUGAACCAGCCAUGCCGCGUGAAGGAUGACGGCCCUAUGAGUUGUAAACUUCGUUUGUACGGGAGUAAAUCUGAAUACGUGUCUUUAGCUGUCUUGACGGUACGAAUAAGGAUCGGCUAACUCCGUGCCAGCAGCCGCGGUAAGACGGAGGAUCCAAGCGUUAUCCGGAUUUAUGGGGUGUAAAGGGUGCGUAGGCGGGUUGAUAAGUUAGAGGUGAAAUGUCAGGGCUUAACUGUGGAAGUGCAUCUGAUACUGGUGAUCUAGAGAGCAGAAGAGGUAGGUGGAAUUCAUGGUGUAGCGGUGAAAUGCUCAGAGAUAAGAAAGAACACCGAUUGCGAAGGCAGCUUACUAGUCUGUAACUGACGCUGAGGCACGAAAGCGUGGGGAGCAAACAGGAUUAGAUACCCGAGUAGUC
This 460-nucleotide ribosomal RNA is filed under the name uncultured bacterium. RNAcentral's name for it is "partial 16S ribosomal RNA". It matches the Rfam family "Bacterial small subunit ribosomal RNA", at positions 338 to 795 of the family's 1533-position model. The record is from RNAcentral.